UUGGAAAAAAGGAGGAAAAAUGGUAAAGAAAUCCCGUGAAAAAGACGUGGAAAAUUUUUCCCUGCCUGCGCGGGCCAUACAUGCCACGCACACGCAUGCACGCGGCUAGCCAGACGUGCGCUUUCUCGUACAUCCCAUCUGUGCAGGGUACGAGGUGCGUAGCAGGCUUUGAGCAGCGCGUGCCACACCUUAGGCAUUAUGUGCUGCCCCUUGGGGAGGUAAGCCACUGCUCAGCCGGCGUGUCGUCACCAUUUGGGAUGCAUGAGCUGUCUCUCAGCCAGUGUUUCGUCACCAUUUGGGAGGCGUGAGCUGUCCCUCAGCCAGUGUGUCUUCCGUCUUUGUGCCACUGCCGCAUCACUGUUGUCUCAUUGUCGUCUAUCAGUCACGUCCGUCAGUCAUCGUGUUGCAUCAAUCUACUUUUCCCUCCCUCUCUCCUCAUGGAUUUGCGCCACUUGGUGAAGAUCCAAUGGUUCCCUUUUUCUAUAAAUAGGGACCCUUCUCACAAUGCCUUCAUCACUUCAUCUUCAUUUUUUCAUUCACUAAAGCAAUUCUCAAGAGAGA
Molecule: long non-coding RNA, 561 nt
Filed under: Carica papaya (papaya)
Lineage: Eukaryota; Viridiplantae; Streptophyta; Magnoliopsida; Brassicales; Caricaceae
Description: long non-coding RNA (CPAP_LNC010946)
Source: RNAcentral